Molecule: non-coding RNA, 23 nt
Filed under: Arabidopsis thaliana (thale cress)
Lineage: Eukaryota; Viridiplantae; Streptophyta; Magnoliopsida; Brassicales; Brassicaceae
Source: RNAcentral
UAUCACAUGAGUAGUCUUUAUUA